ACACGACUACAUUAGAUACCCGGGUAGUCCCAGCCGUAAACUAUGCGCGUUAGGUGUAUCGGUGACCACGAGUCACCGAGGUGCCGAAGGGAAACCGUGAAACGUGCCGCCUGGGAAGUACGGUCGCAAGGCUAGAAACUUAAAGGAAUUGGCGGGGAGCACCACAACGGGUGGAGCCUGCGGUUUAAUUGGACUCAACGCCGGGAAGCUCACCGGAUAAGACAGCGGAAUGAUUGCCGGGCUGAAGACUCUGCAUGACUAGCUG
This 265-nucleotide ribosomal RNA is filed under the name uncultured archaeon. RNAcentral's name for it is "partial 16S ribosomal RNA". It matches the Rfam family "Archaeal small subunit ribosomal RNA", at positions 717 to 982 of the family's 1478-position model. The record is from RNAcentral.